Molecule: unclassified non-coding RNA, 1470 nt
Filed under: Homarus americanus (American lobster)
Lineage: Eukaryota; Metazoa; Arthropoda; Malacostraca; Decapoda; Nephropidae
Description: transcriptional adapter 2B-like, transcript variant X1
Source: RNAcentral
GAUAUAUUGUCAAAAUAAGCGUAUAUUUGUCUUUUGGCACUUUGUAUGACGUCAUCAGCGUACUCUGAGAGGCAAAAUGGCGGAUACGUUUGCAAAGUACCACUGUAACUACUGUGAGGAGGAUGUCAACGGACUGAGGGUACGCUGUCUGGAGUGCGAAGACUUCGAUCUUUGUUUACAGUGUUUUUCGUGUGGUGCUGAGAUUGGCAAGCACAGAAGAAAUCACUGUUAUCAAUUUAUGGCCGGUGUUUUCCAGGAUACAGGAAACUUUAGCAUUUUCCCUGGUCAAGGCCAUUGGACGGCACGAGAAGAAGUCAGAUUAUUGGACGCCAUUGAACAGUAUGGAUAUGGGAAUUGGGAAGAUAUUGCACGACAUAUUGAGACUCGAACACCUGAAGAUGCUAGAAACAAAUAUAUCAGCAGUUACAUAGAUGGCAGCAUUGGGCGAGCUUCAUGGAAACCAGCGUUGGAGCGGUUGCAGCUGCCAAUAGAACACACAAAUACUGAUACAGGACCAUUGUCACCUACUCUGGGGUCAUCCCUACCCACACAACCUCUAUCCACAGAAGAAAAUACUAUCCUUGGAUACAUGCCUCACAGAGAUGACUUUGAAAGGGAGUGGGACAAUGAUGCAGAAGCAACUAUAGCGCCAUUAUUUAUUCAUCCUGUUGAAGAUGAGGAUAUUGAUAUGGCUCUCAAACUUGCCCAGGUGGAUAUGUAUAUGCGCCGACUUCGUGAACGUUCUCGGAGAAAACGCGUUGUAAGAGAUUUCCAAAUAGUUCCACAGUUCUUUAAAAAGGAGAAAGAAAAAGCACAAGUUCCGCCUAAAAAGAAGAGUAAAGAUGACAGAGAGGCCGUAUCAGAAAAAUUAAGAACCGUCAGUCAGUUUCAAACCGCCAGUGAACACAACAAUCUAUUAUCGUCAAUGGUACGGGAAAGAGAACUCAGAACAAGAAUCAGAGAGUUAUUAAGGUAUCGGCGAAAUGGAAUUAGACACGUGGAAGAAUGUCACGAAUUUGAAGUAGCUAGAUCACGAAGGGAUAAAAAGAAAGAAAAUAAAAAGAAAUCACCGAGUAUUCACAACUUUGCCUUUCAUGCAGGCCAGCCUGCCUCAGACUCCAACGACUCAAAUGGACCUGUCCGUAAAGUCAAAAGAAAACGACGCAAGAAGUCCGAAAUGUUUAGCAGAAAAAAAAUUCACGCCUCUAGAUACUGGCGUUGGAAGAUGGCUCAGCGGGAACUUGAGCGGCAGCGGCUUGAGCGGGAACAGCGACAGCAUCACGAACUGGGGGGGCGGGAGCAACACGCAACAGACACAGCAGGGGGGGGCAGCCGGGGGGAAUGAUGACCCAGUACCCAUCUCUUCGUUGCCAGGAUACCAUCUUCUGUCUCAGAGAGAAAGGAAGCUGUGUGCCUCCUCGAAUAUCAAGCCAUCCCAGUACAUUGCUUACAAGGCAGUUUUACUAAAGG